Molecule: small RNA, 28 nt
Filed under: Bombyx mori (domestic silkworm)
Lineage: Eukaryota; Metazoa; Arthropoda; Insecta; Lepidoptera; Bombycidae
Description: ovarian small RNA-14109
Source: RNAcentral
CGAACAAACAAGCCUGUCCCUACUCCUC